This 128-nucleotide ribosomal RNA is filed under the name uncultured eukaryote. Its description in RNAcentral is "partial small subunit ribosomal RNA". It matches the Rfam family "Eukaryotic small subunit ribosomal RNA", at positions 1651 to 1776 of the family's 1831-position model. The record is from RNAcentral.
CCCUGCCAUUUGUACACACCGCCCGUCGCUCCUACCGAUUGGAUGGUCCGGUGAGGUUUUCGGACUGACGCAACGCAGCGGUUCGCCGUCGUGAUGCGUCGGGAAGUCACCCAAACCUUAUCAUCUAG